RNAcentral lists this unclassified non-coding RNA (345 nucleotides) under soil metagenome. Its description in RNAcentral is "partial contains 5.8S ribosomal RNA, internal transcribed spacer 2, and large subunit ribosomal RNA". The stretch from base 1 to 120 matches the Rfam family "5.8S ribosomal RNA", at positions 35 to 154 of the family's 154-position model. The record is from RNAcentral.
GAUGAAGAACGCAGCGAAAUGCGAUACGUAAUGUGAAUUGCAGAAUUCAGUGAAUCAUCGAGUCUUUGAACGCACAUUGCGCCCCCUGGUAUUCCGGGGGGCAUGCCUGUCCGAGCGUCAUUGCUGCCCUCAAGCACGGCUUGUGUGUUGGGCCUCCGUCCUCCUCCCGGGGGACGGGCCCGAAAGGCAGCGGCGGCACCGCGUCCGGUCCUCGAGCGUAUGGGGCUUCGUCACCCGCUCUUGUAGGCCCGGCCGGCGCUUGCCGACACAUCAAUCUUUUUUCCAGGUUGACCUCGGAUCAGGUAGGGAUACCCGCUGAACUUAAGCAUAUCAAUAAGCGGAGUA